This 237-nucleotide ribosomal RNA is filed under the name uncultured bacterium. RNAcentral describes it as "partial 16S ribosomal RNA". It matches the Rfam family "Bacterial small subunit ribosomal RNA", at positions 15 to 236 of the family's 1533-position model. The record is from RNAcentral.
GAUCCUGGCUCAGGAUGAACGCUGGCGGCGUGCCUAACACAUGCAAGUCGAACGAAGCACCUUACCUGAUUCUUCGGAUGAAAGUUUGGUGACUGAGUGGCGGACGGGUGAGUAACGCGUGGGUAACCUGCCCUGUACAGGGGGAUAACAGCUGGAAACGGCUGCUAAUACCGCAUAAGCGCACGAGGAGACAUCUCCUUGUGUGAAAAACUCCGGUGGUACAGGAUGGGCCCGCGU